Non-coding RNA from Cinara cedri, 450 nucleotides. The record is from the annotation of a GenBank genome assembly. Lineage: Eukaryota; Metazoa; Arthropoda; Insecta; Hemiptera; Aphididae.
AGAGAAGAAGCUUAUAGUUUUACACAGAUGUUUAUUUAUUUAUUUUUCUGUGGACAACUUUUCUAUCAGAAAUCUUGAUCCGAUUUUUAAGUGUAGCAUUUUUUCUAAAUGGAAGGAAAUCUAAUUGGGGGGAUACUUUAUGGAAAUAAUUUUUCGAUUUUCCCAGGAAUUUUCCCAACAACGGGAAAAUACAUGCAAAACCGCAUAGGACAAAUGUGAAAAUAGGUACAAUAUUAAACAAAUAAUAUUAAAGAGAUUGUAUAAUGCCGAUAUUAUUAUUUUACCAUACUAUGGUACAUAUAUUGUUGACAAAACAACAUUUAUAUUUUUGGAAUUUUUUUUUAAAAAUGAUAGUAAUAAAAACAAAUAAUAUCAAAUCAGUGUUUCCUAACAUGGGACGCUAGUACUUAUUGCUGCAGAGGCACAAGCUGAAUAUAUAAACAAUAGAAC